UCAAAGGUGCUCAUGACAGUAGGGAAAGAAGGGAGGGCGCAUCCGUCAAAAGCUAAGUUUUGGGAAGGGUAGCAAGGAAGGAAGCAACCUUCAUUUGGAAGAGCCAAAAAGGAGGCAACAGUAGCUCAAUGUGGAGGGCAGAACAAAUGGGAGGCAAUGGAAAGGUUAUCAGAAAGGAGCAACCAUUCGGUUGGAGGGAAGGGCGGUUAGGGUACCACCAACUACGGAAAGGAAAUGCAGAGAAGGAUAGAAGCAGCAACUACAAGGUCUCAGGUAAAGAAAGGAAGAAGCUCCUUUUACUUAAACAUUAUACAAACUCUGACAACUUUCUUUUCUACUUUGAAAUGGAAAAAUCCAUUUCUAAAAAAGAUAGAGUGAAUGAUGAAAAUAGGGAAUUAGGAACCGCUAAGGAAAGGGGGUUGGAUAAAUAGACAACAAGGUCUCAGGUAAAGAAAGGAAGAAGCUCCUUUACUUAAACAUUAUACAAACUCUGACAACUUUCUUUUCUACUUUUGAAAUGGAAAAAUCCAUUUCUAAAAAAGAUAGAGUGAAUGAUGAAAAUAGGGAAUUAGGAACCGCUAAGGAAAGGGGGUUGGAUAAAUAGACAACAAGGUCUCAGGUAAAGAAAGGAAAAAGCUCCUUUUACUUGAACAUUAUACAAACUCUGACAACUUUCUUUUCUACUUUGAAAUGGAAAAAUCUAUUUCUAAAAAAGAUAAAGUGAACAAGAAAAAUAGGGAAUUAGGAACUGCUAAGGGAAGGGGGUUGGAUAAAUAGUUGGGAGUGAAAUAGCUUUUUGAGGAUAGAGAGACUUAAACCCUCAUGAUUUUAAAGUUUUAUAAUAUAAUUGCAUGUCUCUCUCAAAUUUUAGGUUUCUUAUGUGUUGAUAUACCCCUCUUGUGUUUCAUCUGAUAGACUCCCAACAGAUAUUCCUAAAAAGAAUAAUGCUCAAAUUGCACAAACCUAGCUAAACAGUUCCUCCUUUUAAAUCUAAUUUCAAAUAAACCCCAAAAAGCAUAUUUCUAAAACCUACUUGACGUUCUCAUUAUAGACUGCCACCAAAGUUUCCACUACAUCCCGUUUUAUUUUCCCACUAGGAGAGGGAGGGAAUGGAUAAAAUCUCGUCAAGUGCUUAAAACAUCAAAUGGCAUUCAUUUUCCUUCCCAAAGUUAACUCAACUCUUACUUGAUAUCACUUGUUUCAAUUAACCCUUAAGCAUCGUCUUCAACAUUUAGUACUCGAAGAUAUCACACAAACACAACCUACAUACCAUCCUACACCUUGUACGACUUCCAUACGUCACCUUCUUCCAUAAUCAACCAAACACCGCAAAAAAAAAAACAUUUCCUCCAAACCCACUGCACUUUUAAAGCAAGUGGGGACACUACAUCUUCAGAUUACAUGUCUACAAGUCUUUACUGAAAAGGAACCAAAGAACCACCA
RNAcentral lists this long non-coding RNA (1443 nucleotides) under Solanum tuberosum (potato). Its description in RNAcentral is "long non-coding RNA (STUB_LNC003263)". Lineage: Eukaryota; Viridiplantae; Streptophyta; Magnoliopsida; Solanales; Solanaceae. The record is from RNAcentral.